AGUGGGGAGGCAACCUGUCUGGCCUCCUGGUGACCAGGCUUUCCCUUCUCUCCACAGC
RNAcentral lists this non-coding RNA (58 nucleotides) under Sus scrofa (pig). Lineage: Eukaryota; Metazoa; Chordata; Mammalia; Artiodactyla; Suidae. The record is from RNAcentral.